This is a long non-coding RNA of Ceratitis capitata (Mediterranean fruit fly), 1118 nucleotides long. RefSeq lists it as uncharacterized. Lineage: Eukaryota; Metazoa; Arthropoda; Insecta; Diptera; Tephritidae. The record is from RefSeq and is a predicted model, not a curated record. The transcript is spliced from 4 exons.
UUCAAGAAUUUUCUUUUAUAUCUUUGCAUUUUCCCCUCGAAAAGAGCGCAACGCAUACUUUCACUACUUUUCUAAUACAAUUUUUGACUUUCGACUACACAAUUUUCAAUUUCGUUGGCUUUGUGCGCUCAUGCCGUUUGGCAUUCGUGUUUGUCCGAUCCCGUCGAAAGGCACGUUUCCUGGGCCUACCACUAAAUGACUUCGGUUGCUUGGAUUGAUUUUAAGCCAGUCGACCUGGAGUUAACGUUGCACCUACAAUAACAACAACAAUAUCACGAAUUAUCGUCGUCACUCACCCAUAACGGAUGAACGCUCACUAAAGCAAAAUUCUAAUCACCAACGAGCUUCAUAAUUGACGACCAGAGUUUACAACUGGCAAAAACACAACUUGAAUUAACCAAUAACGAGUACCAUUCAUGGAGCGUAUCAACCGAGCGCAUCAAGCACACACACAAAGGCUCUCAAACUGUUGAAAAUUAGAUAAGAAAUGACAGCCAAAAAGGCCAACAAGCAAAGAGGACAACCGAAGCCAAACCAGCGACCAGCAACAACAACCACGUAGCAUUUACACAACUUUUGCGCUUCAAUGCCAUUAUGCAGCAUCGUUAUUAAGCCACAACAGACUCUCCUUCUAUUCUUUAUGAUUCUUUAACUUCGUCCCAACAACACAGUUCCAUCAUCAACGUUUUUAAUUAAUUUUUGAAAUGUCAAGCAAGCAAGGAAGUCGCAGUGAAAUCUUAAACCAGCAGAACAGCGAAAGGAAUGCAUGCACACAAAUACAUAUAAUAUAAGUAGAUAUGAGUUAUACAAACAGACAGAAGCAGCUCUGAAAAGCCACAUAAUCACUUCGACUGUGACAUAGAGAAAGUAAUGAAUACCGCAAAAUUGUAACGGUGAUAUUAACAAUGCAGGAAUUAUGAUCGGUAUGGUAUGAAAGGCUGUUGGCUACGAAUUUGGGUGAGGAAACGAAAAUGAGUCAUUUGUAACCUUGGUCUCCUCGAGAAAAGCCCCUCAAGAGAUUUUAUUGAAACCUCGCAAUAAUUUUUUCAGUAAUUUCUGGAAGGUAUUCUCUGCGUUUUUUGAAGACAGCCCUCACAAAUAAAGAGCUGCUGAUAACU